This 165-nucleotide small RNA is filed under the name Streptomyces autolyticus. RNAcentral describes it as "c-di-AMP sequence". It matches the Rfam family "c-di-AMP riboswitch aptamer (ydaO/yuaA leader)". Rfam says of the family: This family represents a conserved RNA structure found upstream of the ydaO and yuaA genes in Bacillus subtilis and related genes in other bacteria. The ydaO/yuaA element is thought to act as a genetic "off" switch for the ydaO and yuaA genes in its native state. It is believed that the element may be triggered during osmotic shock leading to activation of ydaO, a predicted amino acid transporter gene, and members of the yuaA-yubG operon which code for KtrA and KtrB K+ transporters. Lineage: Bacteria; Bacillati; Actinomycetota; Actinomycetes; Kitasatosporales; Streptomycetaceae. RNAcentral also lists the same sequence under 1 other name. The record is from RNAcentral.
GGACAGCCAUCGCCGAGUCCCCGUACGGCGCAAGCCAGGGGAGCCGGGGACCCAACACGUCCCCAGGGGUGAAUCGGGCGCCUUCCCCGGCCGGGGGAGGAGUCCGUAGGAGACCUUCCUGCUCCGAACCCGUCAGCUAACCCGGUAGGCGAGAAGGAAGGAAAG